RNAcentral lists this long non-coding RNA (1864 nucleotides) under Homarus americanus (American lobster). RNAcentral describes it as "uncharacterized LOC121879873, transcript variant X1". Lineage: Eukaryota; Metazoa; Arthropoda; Malacostraca; Decapoda; Nephropidae. The record is from RNAcentral.
AUGAGUGUUACUUGAGUGAGUCUUACUUGAAUAGGUAUUAUUUGAGUCUUACCUGAGUGGGUAUUAUUUGAGUGUGACUUGAGUGGGCAUUAGUUAAGUCUUAUUUAUGUAAGCGUUAUUUAUCUUACGUGAGUUUUAAUUAAGUCUUAACUGAGUCUGAAAGGUAUCUCACCUGCCCUACACCUGCUCCAUAUGUAAUUCCUGAUUUAUUUAUAUAUUUAGUUUUCUUUGUUUAUUAAGUAUUUAGUUAUUUUAUGUUUCUAUAAGCAUUGCAUGUGUGUGUGUAUGUGUGUGUGUGUGAACCAAUUCAUCUUUUCGUGUUUAUGCUUUUGUCUGUCUGUCUGUCUGUGCACCUGUCUGUCUGUCUGUCUGUCAGCGCAUGUCUCCGUAUUUUACAGAACCGAGAGCUGGGAUUAUCGCUUCACCAAUAACUGGAUGAGAUACCGUUGAAACUAAGAGAAAUGAAGGAACAAAGGGUGAGAGACGAGGGUGUUGGUGUGUGUUGCUUGUGUUGCCUACGCUGAGGAGGAGCAGACUACAGCAGACUACAGCAGGGAACAGUAGACUACAGCAGGAAGCAGCAGGAAAUAGCAGAUUACAGCAGGGAUUACCAGAUUAAAGUAGGGUACAGAAGACUACAGCAGGAAACAGCAGACUACAGCAGACUACAGCAGGAAGCAGCAACUACUACUAGAGGAAACAGUAGACUACAGAAGGAAGCAGCAACAACUACUAGAGGAAACAGUAGACAACAGCAGGAACAGAAAACUACUUCAGGAAACAACAGAGUACAGCAACAUAACAGUAAAUAAUAUUAGACAGCGGUAGAGAACAGCACAGUACUUGAUAACAGCCUCGAACAAUACCAAACAGAUGCACAAAAAAACAAUACUCAACAUCAGACAACAAAAACAGACACAACAGAUAAAAACACAGACAAUAACAGACACCGGAAACAUACUACAACAGAAAAUUGCAACAGACACGAGCAGACAAGCGCGUAGAGAAACAGGUCAACCCAGUUUCCUCUGUGGUAAAGCUAGGUCAGGUCAGGUCAUAAUAUACCAAAUCAAAACCAAGGUCAUGUAUUCGUGGUCUGUUGGUUAUAUGGACUCGGGAUAAGGUCAAAAGAGGUCAUUAGAGGUCCGGUUAGCUUUGGUUAUCUAGAAAGGGAAUGAGGUUAAAUGACAUCGUUCCGUGCCAGGUCAGUUUAGGUCACUUAAUGACCUUGGUCAAGGUGAAGAAGAGAUGACUUACUUGAACCUAAAGGAUUGUCAUUUUGUUCUAAGUCUGUUUAACUGGAUAACUGGAAUGCGUUGUCUUAGUAACUGGUAGACUGUCAACUCAAGCUCUCCUCUCAAUGUAAGUGGAAUUCUAUAUACAUAUAUCUAAGAAACAAGAAGUUACUGUUAACUGUUACUGCCAGCACAGUCUCUUCUCGGUCUAAAUGGAUAGCAGGAACAUCUAUCAGUAAACUCCUUUUAUACACGGAAUAAGGCAAUGUUUUGGGUUCUAUAUUAAAAUAUUUAAUUCUAUCUAAUUUCUUGUACUGUACAUAGAGGAACGAGAAGUCUUCCUCGUGUGUGUGUGUGUGUGUGUCCUCGCCUCUCAUACUUAUGUAAAGACAGACCCACGCUGAUUCGGGUUGAAUGUUAUUAAUACCAGGUUUGGAUCGAAUGUAAACAACAGUUGAUGUAAACAACAAUUGAUGUAAACAGGUUAUAUAAUCAGGUUCUGUAAACAGGUGAUGUAAACAUCUGAUGAUGUAAAUAACAGUUGAUGUAAACAACGGAUGAUACGCACAAAAGUUGAUGUAAACAGCAGAUGAUAUAAACAACAGGCGAUGUAAACAAAUGAUAUAAAC